This is a long non-coding RNA of Vigna angularis (adzuki bean), 479 nucleotides long. RefSeq lists it as uncharacterized. The record is from RefSeq and is a predicted model, not a curated record. The transcript is spliced from 3 exons. NCBI's taxonomy places the organism in Eukaryota, Viridiplantae, Streptophyta, Magnoliopsida, Fabales, Fabaceae.
CUCAACUUCCCAUUCUCUUUCUAAGAACUCAAUUCUCCAAUUCUCUGUCUUCUCUCUACCAUUCCUUCACAUUCUCUCGUUGCAUGUUGGUUUAGGUGUUGUCCAAGCAUCCGCGACGUAGAGGGCUCCAUUUCUACCGAACGUUUUCUUCAUUCCGACUGGGCACUGUUUAGGUCCUUGUUGCGAGGUACUGUUAGAGCUUUCUAGGGGAUUGUACUGCUCAACUCCAAGAUGUGAGCAGAAGCGGAUAGGGUGCCUCUGGAGCAAGCUUUGGAGGAAGACGAUGUUGUUGCUUAGUAUCCUUAGGGUUCUCCUAGUGUGUUUCUUGUAUUUCGAAUUAUUCAGUUGUUAUGGAUCUCCCUGUGAUUCCUACCCUUUUGAAAUACUCCUUUUGAUUUAAGUUUUAAAUUCCGACUAUAUUUGGGAUGACUGUAAGCUUAUCAACUCUAUUUACAGUCUAUUCUAACUGUUCUCUUUUA